GUACUUGCUUCGGCAGUACAUAUACUAAAAUUGGAACGAUACAAAGAAGAUUAUCAUGGCGCCUGCGUAAAAUGACACAUAAUAUGCACAUACAUGCAUUCAUAUGU
RNAcentral lists this small nuclear RNA (107 nucleotides) under Stegodyphus mimosarum. The record is from RNAcentral. Lineage: Eukaryota; Metazoa; Arthropoda; Arachnida; Araneae; Eresidae.